AGGGGCCCGCGGCCUAUCAGGUAGUUGGUGAGGUAACGGCUCACCAAGCCGACGACGGGUAGGGGGCGUGAGAGCGUGGCCCCCCACACGGGAACUGAGACACGGUCCCGACGCCUACGGGCGGCAGCAGUGAGGAAUCUUGCCCAAUGGGGGAAACCCUGAGGCAGCGACACCGCGUGCGGGAUGAAGGCCUUCGGGUCGUAAACCGCUUUUCUGGGGGACGAGUAAGGACGGUACUCCAGGAAUAAGUCCCGGCUAACUACGUGCCAGCAGCCGCGGUAAAACGUAGGGGGCGAGCGUUAUCCGGAAUCACUGGGCGUAAAGGGCGUCUAGGCGGCAGCCUAAGUCCCGUGUGAAAGCUCCCGGCUCAACUGGGAGAGGGCAUGGGAGACUGGGCAGCUAGAGACUCGGAGGGGGGUGUGGAAUUCCCGGUGGAGUGGUGGAAUGCGUUGAGAUCGGGAGGAACACCAGUAGCGAAGGCGGCACCCUGGCCGAGAUCUGACGCUGAAGCGCGAGAGCGUGGGGAGCGAACGGGAUUAGAUACCCCGGUAGUCCACGCCGUAAACGAUGACAACUAGGUGUUGGGUGUCCAAGGAUGCUCAGUACCGCAGCAAACGCGAUAAG
This 624-nucleotide ribosomal RNA is filed under the name uncultured bacterium. Its description in RNAcentral is "bacterial SSU rRNA". It matches the Rfam family "Bacterial small subunit ribosomal RNA", at positions 225 to 864 of the family's 1533-position model. The record is from RNAcentral.